This 426-nucleotide ribosomal RNA is filed under the name Megaselia mallochi. Its description in RNAcentral is "partial 16S ribosomal RNA". The record is from RNAcentral. Lineage: Eukaryota; Metazoa; Arthropoda; Insecta; Diptera; Phoridae.
UUUUAGAAUUUAAUUUAAAGUCUAACCUGCCCACUGAAUAAUUUUAAAUGGCCGCAGUAUUCUAACUGUGCAAAGGUAGCAUAAUCAUUAGUCUUUUAAUUGAAGGCUGGAAUGAAUGGUUGGAUGAAAUAUUAACUGUUUCAUAAAAAUUUAUAAUAGAAAUUUAUUUUUUAGUCAAAAAGCUAAAAUAUAAUUAAAAGACGAGAAGACCCUAUAAAUCUUUAUAUUAAUAUAAUUUUAAUUAUAUAGAUAAAUUAAAUUAUAAUUAUUUUUAAUAUUUUAUUGGGGUGAUAUUAAAAUUUAAUAAACUUUUAAUUUAUAUUUUACAUAAAUUAAUGAAUUAUUGAUCCAUUUAUUAUGAUUAUAAAAUUAAGUUACUUUAGGGAUAACAGCGUAAUUUUUUUAGAGAGUUCAUAUUGAUAAAAA